UUUCUCUUUGCAGAGCAGAAGCUUUUUAAUAAGAUGAGAUCCCAGUUGUUGAAUUACAGAUUUUCUUUUGAUUCUGGCCUGAGAGUAGAUGCCCUUCAUCCACCUGGCAGAGAUUGCAAAAUGAUCACAUUUUACAAGCAGAUAUCUGCCAGAGACUCCUGCAGUAAGUCUCUAGUCCCCACCUGCCCAGUGUGUGACACAAGGAUGAAGAAAAACUUGAGACAGAGUUAAAGAGAAAGGGUGAACUGGGACAGCCAGUGCUCCUUUGGCAAAAGCACUGGCCCGUCUCUUCCACCGAAUUUUAUCAUUCAUCAAUCAGGGUAAAGGUGAAGUCCUUGUACAGAUGUGCAGUACGUGAAAUUCCCAUGGAAAUCAAUGCAGCCAAGGCUUUAAGGAGGAGUCAGAGCAUUUUCAAAUUAGAAGGAAGACAGACAAAAUAUAUGGUUGUAAUUAGAGCAUUGUCCUUCAAGCUAUGAAGGCACUAAUUGUGGGAACGGAGUUUGGGUGCGAUUACUCCGGCCUCAGCUACAGAUGUUAUCUCGGAUCAGCCCCACAGCUUCACAGGCCGUUACUCUAGUCUCUGCAGUGGCCGUCAGCAGGAGGUCAUGCUGACCUGCGUGCUACCGCAGUCCUCGUGAGAUGCUUCUGUGAGUCACAGAGCUUCAGUUCGACUCGCUUCUUAAGGCAGAGUCUCGCUAUGUAAUCCUAGCUGGCCCCAAACCAGUGGUCCUCCUGCUCAGCCUCUCCAUUGCCGGGAUUACUAGUGUGCACCUCAUACCAGUGCUGGAGAUCAAACCCAGGGCCUUCCAUACACUAGGCAAGCACUCCACCACUCAGCUACACUCCCAACCCAGAAAAAGGCUCUGGAGACAUGUUUGGUUAACACAGAAACAAGAAACAACAAUUUAAUGCACGACUAAAUUUGUCUAUAUGCGGAGAUGUCUCCCAGGCAGUGAGGACGGUGCGAGCUCAUACGCCCCAGACACAUCUUCAGUCACUGCAACGGGCGCUUCCUGACUUCUCAGACACUGUCAAAACUGGCAUGAAGUCCACACGAGAGAGCACAGGAGAAAUGCCCCACUGACGAUGACAAAGCUGGAGUGGUAGAAAAUCAAGCUGUUAUCCCAGCUCUACUGGGGUCUCUGAGACAGCAGCAGACAAAAGACAGGAGCAUCAGUGGACAGUCGUGCAUGACUCCGCAUUCACCUUGGUACGACUCUAUUGUGCCUGCUCAGCAGCAGAGAUGCCGAAGGCAACAGGACCAGCGCCUCCUCCCCACACCCAGGCAACCAGGCCCUGACUGCACAAGCCUCAGCUGGCGCUGCUCACAGAGGUUGUCCCACUGGCCCUCUCGCUAGGCAGUCUCAUUGAGGGCAGUGACGGGCUGCUUCUCUUCCGAAGGGCUUCUGCAAUGAACUAUACCCCACCCCUCCUUUUUUGAGACAGGGUCUCUGUGUUGCUCAGGGUGGGCUCAAACUUGUGACCUUCUGCUUCAGCCUCCUUGAGUGGCAGCAUUGCAGGUGAGCACCCCCACACUUGGGGCUACUUUCUUUGUCUGUCUGUAGGAAUGUUCACAUUGACCGCUAGCUUGGCACUGAGGACAAUGAAAAGAACAAGACAACAUCAAUGUGUUUUGGGAUUUCCUGAAGUAUCUAGGACUUUCUGUAUAAGAUGCAAGUGCAGAUUUCUUGUCUGCUCUUAAUUCCCAAUGAGUCCCACUGAGAUGCCAAUGUGUACAACGUUCACAGCACAAGAACAGAACACAGAAUCAGGGCCAGGCAUGUGUGCCACUCAGUUAACACGGGGAAAGGACACCACUAGAAUGAUGACCGCUUUCUCAGAACAGCACUGUGCACAAAGAGGUGCCUUUGUAGAGUGGCCUUCUUUCUGAACGUUCUGAGAGGCUUUGGGGUAACUUCUGGAGUUCUGUGGGGUCAGAACUGAGGCCCACCUGUCAUGGUUUUAGCCGAGGCUAAAGGGAGGGAGUGUAACUAUUUGAGAGAGGGGGAUAUGCUAAAAACCACCAUAGUUGGCCAUCCAGAUAAAGAAAGGUGAAAGUUCAAAAAAUUAUUUUAGUUGUUCCCUCCAGUAACAUCUCAAGGUCGUCCAAAACCUCAUGACCUACUGAACAAUCCUGGAACCACAGGAAUCUCCUGUCCUUAUUAUCUCAAGUCACUGUCAAGUGUAAGUUAAAAUGACUUUCAGUACAGGUUUGGAGAAUCUCCAACAGUUUCAGCACAGCUUCCUGAAGGUGGUGUAUUUCAGGAAUGUGAGCAUGCCCAGCAACCUCUGAUCGUGAAAACAUCCUGCGUCCCACACUGCGAGUGUUUCUAGCUUGCUUUGGCUGCAAGGAAGCUCAGAGCAGUUUGUAGCAGCUGCACAGGACCUGACAGCAAACGCUAAGGAAGGAAUAAUCUUAGUUGUCACCGAUUUUCCAGCCUUCAUUUAUCUUUGCCCCAAUUUCUUCAUUUGGUUAUGCUGAAUUAAGAAAACAUUUUGUGCUGACAGCAUAGCUUGGUAGUAAUGCACUAGCCUAAUAUGUGUGAAGCCCUGGGUUCAAUCCUCAGCAUUUGGCCCCUAAGUUUACUAUUUUUCCUUAUUAUGAUGAAACACGUUUGUUACAGAAAAUUAAAAAAAUUUAGAUAAACAAAAAAUAAAAAUAAAAAUAAAAUGUUCUAAUACUAGCACCCACAAUCAAGCACAGUGAAUACUAGCUAUUUAAUUUCCCUUACUAUCUAUAUACACAAAUAUUUGAUUUUCUUUAUGUAUUUUAUAAUCUGCAUCAAAAAAUGUUGUGAAUUAUUCUAGUCAUUCAAUAUCUUUCUACGACAUUCUUUUAAUGACCAUGUAUCUUCAAAUCACAUGAUGUGCAAUAGUUUAUUUUAUGAAACUUAUGCAGCUAAAUACUUAGUAUUUCCUCAGCUUUCCCUCAAUGGCCCUGCCGGUGUUAAGGGGCAGUUCUGGGCGUCCCUGCUGGGCUCGGCCCCUAUUAUCUUCUUGGGAGAGGGCUCUAUCCGUGGGAUUCCUGGGUAAGACAGAGCAUGAAGGUUACAGGUCCCCUCCCUUUCCGGCACUGCCUGAUUUAUCCCUGGCAAAGCUGGGCACCAAUUACAGCUCUCACCCUUCCCCGCACUGGGCCUUACCUUACCUAGGUGCCUUUCCUCUUGCUAAUCUGUGAAUCUGCACUGAGUCAUCACUGACCUUUCUUAGAAGGCGGCAGUGAGACACAGAUUUAAAGCAGCAACUCCAGCUGGGGCAAUCUACCCAGCUACCAAGGGCGCUGCGCAGCCUGGAGCGUGCCGCUGCCUUCCGCACAGCUCUCUGAAGUGCUCAGCCAAAGGACAGUUCUCUCCUCAAAGUCAAACACCCCUGAGCGGGUCUCCCGCCCGGCGGGGAGCCGUGAUGUGGAGCGAGGCGGCGUGGGUGCUCUGAGUCCCGGCAGCCCUGCCUGGCUCUGCAGCUCUUCCGUUGCCCAGCUGGCCCCUCUUCAUCCUUCUGAUCUCACCUCAGUGCCACCUCCUCGGGACCACCUCGCACGGGGUGGUGUGCAGGCUGCCUGGCUGCCCUCCCGCAUCCCCAUCACACACUGCCCGCAGCCUGGAGUUGGGGCUGGGCUGCGGUCAGGCAAAUGUCCACUUCCUCUCCUGGACUGAAGCAGGUUUACUCUGAAAUACCUGAGUCCAUACUUCUGAACAGCAGGCACCACAUUUUAAACCUCACCUUCUGUUGACCAUUUGGUUCAGUUUCUUUGCUUUGCAGCCCUGGAGCAGGGUCCAGGCCCAGACACAUGCUAGGCAGGCCUCUGCCACACCCAACACAGGCCCAGGCCCUUCUGCUGGCAGGGAGCCUCACUGGUCAGGCCUGGGUUUCCUCACAGCAGAUGCGCAUGUCUGUCCUCACAUAUGAUGUCCAUAAUCAAAUAAACAUGCAAAAAUAUUUUAAAGGCUAAGAUAAAAGCCAUUUUCCUCUAUUAACGGCCAGUCUAGCGGCUUCGCUCUGCCCUGUAGAGCAAGCAAUUAGGACAAAGCCUAAAAUUUCAUUUGCAUUAAGUUUUCUUAAGAACAAAGUUUAAAAGGAAAACAAAACAAAACCCAGCAGAGUAAUUACUGCUUUGCAGCAAAUGGUUUUUUCUAUUGGCAGGAGGUUUCUUUCAUGUGCUAAUGGUGGCAUUUUAAAAACCUCCUCGUCUUUAACUUACUUAGAUCUCCAAGGACCUCACACAUCUAAAGAUUCCUUACAUUCACCGAAACUUCCAGAGUGGUCUAAGGGUUGACAAGCAGUGCGAUUAAUGGACAGGAUUGAUUUAAUUUCCUACAAGAGUUCUUCCUUCACUAAGGAGAUGUUUGUCAUUCACGUCAAGCAUUCUCCCCUGCUUACAGAUGCCAAAAAACAGAAGAAUGCAGAGUGCACCCAGGGCUUCCUUUCCCUCUUAGAAAUUCCAUCUGCAAGUACUGGCCACGGAAAUAAGAGCCUCUCCUCAACCUUAAGCCUCUUCCUAAGCGCAGCAAGGGAACUUUGACUUGAGGUUUUAUUAGUACUUACCAGAAGAAGCAGAAAAUAAGAAUAAACUCAAUUUAAUAAGCUUCAAAAUAGAAAUACAAAGUGCUGCAGAAGUCACUGGGCUAUUUUAGAAGAGAAAUACCGAAACGACUUACAGAUCAGUACAAAGCCGUCAGUUGCAGUGCAAGUUUCUUCACGGCCUUACCUGAAGUGCCACUUAGAAGCAAGUUAAAUCCCCCUCCCCCAGAGAUAAACAGAAGAGCUUACGUCUUAUGUGCUAAUUUCUAUGUUGCCUAUGAGGAAACACUAGAUUUCUUAACAUGUAAAGUGAUGGCUCAUCACUCGCCAAAUACAGCUUUGGUGUUUUGCGCCCCUGAACAGCAUCAGCAUGGGGUGCAGGUCAAAGAGGGCGCCUGCCUGACGUGGGCCUGGCCCCAGAUUCCAUCCUAGCACGGCAAAAACAAACACGAAGGAAAGAAAACUACCCAGACGGGAGCUUGACGGCGCCAGCAGGAGGAGCAUGUGCUGAGAGCCAGACCCCAAGAAGGUCACUGUGCCUGGGGCAGCCCUGGGCCCAGCCCACGCUCAUCAGACCCCAGCCAUGAGGGACCUGAGGCCACAGAACCGGAACCACGCGGUGCUUCGCUGUGCAGACCAAGCCCACACAGCUCCACGCGGCUUCCCCUCCUGGAGGUCCUGCUGCUGCAGCCUCCCACCCAGGCUUCCUGUCUCUGGGCCUCGCGCUAUCUAGUGCUCUUUUCAGGCACCACCAGGACGGGGGCUUCAGCCAGGGCAGAGGUCAAAGGGUUAUCUGCCCUGUGUGGUUUUAGGGCAGAAGGAUCUUUUUGACUCUUUCUUUCAUUUUUCCCCUUAAGACAAAAUAUGUGCAUGUGAAUCACAGCAAGCUAAUUCAAGUACUAGAACAGUGUCUCUUCAGAGGAGCUGCCUUCUCAAGAAAAUCCCGAAUCAACUUUUCUGUCUCCACGGAGAAACCAGAUGCUGCAAAACUUGCCACACAGCUGCUAAAAUAGUGAGGCAGUUUCU
Molecule: non-coding RNA, 5544 nt
Organism: Heterocephalus glaber (naked mole-rat)
Lineage: Eukaryota; Metazoa; Chordata; Mammalia; Rodentia; Bathyergidae
Source: RefSeq, a predicted model, not a curated record